Molecule: ribosomal RNA, 788 nt
Filed under: uncultured Tropheryma sp.
Lineage: Bacteria; Bacillati; Actinomycetota; Actinomycetes; Micrococcales; Tropherymataceae
Description: bacterial SSU rRNA
Rfam family: Bacterial small subunit ribosomal RNA
Source: RNAcentral
AACGGAAAUCAGGGAGCUUGCUCCCCUGUGAUUAGUGGCGAACGGGUGAGUAACACGUGAGCAACCUGCCCCUAACUUUGGGAUAACUUCGGGAAACCGGGGCUAAUACCAAAUACGACCCAUGAGGGCAUCCUCUGUGGGUGGAAGGAAUUUCGGUUGGGGAUGGGCUCGCGGCCUAUCAGCUUGGUUGGUGGGGUAACGGCCUACCAAGGCAUCGACGGGUAGCCGGCCUGAGAGGGUGAUCGGCCACACUGGGACUGAGACACAGCCCAGACUCCUACGGGAGGCAGCAGUUGGGAAUAUUGCACAAUGGGCGCAACCUGCAUGCAGCGACGCCGCGUGGGGGAAGAAGGCCUUCGGGUUGUAAACCUCUUUUGGCAGGGAAGAAGCGAAAGUGACGGUACCUGCAGAAAAAGCGCCGGCUAACUACGUGCCAGCAGCCGCGUUAAUACGUAGGGCGCGAGCGUUGUCCGGAAUUAUUUGGCGUAAAGAGCUCGUAGGCGGUUUGUCACGUCUGCCGUGAAAAUCCGAGGCUCAACCUCGGACCUGCGGUGGGUACGGGCAGGCUAGAGUGCGAUAGGGGAGAGCGGAAUUCCUGGUGUAGCGGUGAAAUGCGCAGAUAUCAGGAGGAACACCGAUGGCGAAGGCAGCUCUCUGGGUCGCUACUGACGCUGAGGAGCGAAAGCGUGGGGAGCGAACAGGAUUAGAUACCCUGGUAGUCCACGCCGUAAACGUUGGGCGCUAGACGUGGGGGUGGUUCCACCGCUUCCGUGUCGCCACUAACGCAU